Small nucleolar RNA from Tachyglossus aculeatus (Australian echidna), 138 nucleotides. Lineage: Eukaryota; Metazoa; Chordata; Mammalia; Monotremata; Tachyglossidae. The record is from RefSeq and is a predicted model, not a curated record.
CCCCUCUCAGGAUGGCACCUGGAGAGUAUCCAGUACUCUACCAGUCUCGGCUACUGGAGGGAAAGUCAAGCAGUGGCCUACCUAUUAAAUUCCUAGCUUGGGAAGUGGCUAGAGAGUGGAAGACGAUCUGCUGCAAGU